ACGAACGCUGGCGGCGUGCUUAACACAUGCAAGUCGAACGGAAAGGCCUUCUUUCCCUUGUGGAUUGCGGGUACUCGAGUGGCGAACGGGUGAGUAACACGUGAGUGAUCUGCCCCCAACUUGGGUAUAAGCCUGGGAAACUGGGUCUAAUUCCCGAUAGGACUGCAGGGUGGUGCCUGUGGUGGAAAACGAUUUUCUAGUGGUUGGGGAUGAGCUCGCGGCCUAUCAGCUUGUUGGUGGGGUAAUGGCCUACCAAGGCGGCGACGGGUAGCCGGCCUGAGAGGGUGGACGGCCACAUUGGGACUGAGAUACGGCCCAGACUCCUACGGGAGGCAGCAGUGGGGAAUAUUGCACAAUGGGCGGAAGCCUGAUGCAGCGACGCCGCGUGGGGGAUGACGGCCUUCGGGUUGUAAACUCCUUUCGACCGCGAGGAAGCCACCUGGUUGGAAGGGUGGUGACGGUAGUGGUAGAAGAAGCACCGGCUAACUACGUG
RNAcentral lists this ribosomal RNA (493 nucleotides) under uncultured bacterium. RNAcentral's name for it is "partial 16S ribosomal RNA". It matches the Rfam family "Bacterial small subunit ribosomal RNA", at positions 29 to 507 of the family's 1533-position model. The record is from RNAcentral.